CAUGCAGAUAUUCUAUAACUGACUCUGGCCUACUAUCCACAUGGUGAAGAGUAGCUAGAACUGGGGUUCAUUGAAAAGGCCAGGGCUUGUCUCUUGGUAUUUCUGCCUGGCAUGUUCAAAGUGAGAAGGUGAAGAUUGGACACAGCACCAAGCUUAUGAGCCUCAAAAGUACCAGUGACUGAGUUACCAUGAGGUCUAGGAGUGGAGUCCAUGCUGAGUCUUGUGGUCUUUAGUAUCUUGGCCCUGUGGAUUGAUCUUCAUGACUCAGCCUAGUGGUAGUUGAGACUUGGGCUAAUUCAAUGUCUAUCUCACAUUUGGAAAUAAAGUUACUGGGGCCAAUGCUAUGCAGAAAUUGUGUUAAGAUUGAAUUUACUCUUCUAAGGGACUGAGGAGGCAUAGAAGAAAGUAAGCCUCCAGGAACCUCUCCCUAAAGAGAGCCUAGAACCACAUAUAAUGGGGUUGUCUCUUGAAGCCCGAGCCAGAAGAAGGAACAUCUCUCCUCUCCCAAGCUUUCACCAACUCCAAAGAAGAAAAACAUUCUCCAACUGUCUAGGCUUGAACCCCGGAUUAUACAGAGAAGAAAAUUGAGAGUUUUGCAUAGCAUUCAUAAGAAUAACUCAUUCGAGCAUACCAAUGUACUACUCAGACCCAGUAAUCUCUUGUUCUCAUCAUAUGUCUAGCCUAUUGUUGUUUUUUAAAAGACUGUUCCAAUCUCAAAACGCCAAAUUAAAUGAACAUCUCUGCACACACAGUACAACAGAAAUGGAGGAUUGUACAUGAAACUGUGACUUAUGUAUAGCUUACUUUUCUUCAUAAGUAUGUGAUAAAUUCAACAUGUAACUUUCAAAGCUGUCCUGAUUGUCUGGGAUUCCUUUUGUCCUUC
This is a non-coding RNA of Phascolarctos cinereus (koala), 883 nucleotides long. The record is from RefSeq and is a predicted model, not a curated record. NCBI's taxonomy places the organism in Eukaryota, Metazoa, Chordata, Mammalia, Diprotodontia, Phascolarctidae.